ACAAAGCCAGAGAUGAAAUCCGCGCCCACAAUCAAAAUUAAAAGACCCAUUACAUUUUGAUUUGAUCUUUCGAUUAUUAUUUUAUUACACACAUGCCUUUCCCCUCUCUUCCUUCUUCUCCCACUCUCUCAUUUUCUCUCACACCCUCUUCAUUUCCCCAUCUAAAAUGGAAGAAGACGAUUCCAGUAAGGUUCUUGAUCUCAUUAAGGACCUUGUUUUUCGUCUUCUUUCCCACAAUCCCACCUCCAAUUCCAGCCCUACCUCCUCUGAUUUCCAAAAGUCUCUUCGCUAUGCAAUUCGCAUUCUCACUAGCCGAAUGACUCCUUCCAUUGCUCCUGAUGCUGCCGCCAUUGCUGGGUCCAUCAAGCGCAGGCUCGCCACUGAGGGUAAGUCUUCUCAGGCUCUCACUUUUGCUGAUCUUUACACUAAAUUUGCAUCCAAAACUGGCCCUGGGAGUGUGAAUAAUAAGUGGGCUGUGCUUUAUUUGCUCAAAAUUGUGGCGGAGGAUCGUAAAUGUAGACAGACCCAGUUCGAAUCAUCAGUGCUUUUGCCUAAUUUGGUAGCGAGUGAUCCUGUGUUGGGAAAAAAGUCUGGGGCGGCCCCAGAGAAGGAGUGGCAGAAGGGGGUUUUGUUGGUUGCGAAGGACCCUGAGAAUCUUCGCGAUGUUGCUUUUAAGGAGUUUGCUAAUUUGCUGAAGGAGGAAAAUGAAGUGACUGAAGAGGUUUUGGUGAGGGAUGUGUUGUAUGCUUGUCAAGGAAUUGAUGGAAAGUAUGUGAAAUUUGACAAUAAUUCUGAUGGUUAUGUUCUAUCCAAUUUAGUUAAGGCUUCCAGGGCAACUAGGACGAUGAUUCGCAAGCUCUGUGAAAUGGGGUGGCUGUUUAGGAAGGUUAAAGGUUAUAUCUCGGAGAGUAUGGAACGUUUUCCAGCUGAAGAUAUUGGAACUGUUGGACAUGCUUUUUGUGCUGCAUUGCAGGAUGAGCUUUCAGAAUACUAUAAACUGUUGGCAGUUCUCGAAGCCCAGUCGAUGAAUCCGAUACCUUUGGUUUCAGAGGCAGCAAGUUCAGGAAACUAUCUGUCUCUAAGGAGAUUGGCAGUCUGGUUUGCUGAGCCAAUGGCGAAAAUGAGGUUGAUGGCUGUAUUGGUUGACAAGUGUAGAGUCUUGAAGGGUGGGGCAAUGGCUGGGGCCAUCCAUUUACAUGCUCAGCAUGGUGACCCCUUGGUGCUUGAAUUUAUGAGGCGUUUGCUGCGACGUGUAUGCUCUCCCCUUUUUGAGAUGGUAAGGAGUUGGGUUUUAGAAGGGGAGCUGGAAGACAUAUUUUCUGAGUUUUUUGUUGUUGGGCAACAAGUGAAAGCUGAAUCUCUGUGGAGGGAAGGUUAUAGGCUUCACGCUGGCAUGCUUCCAUCUUUUAUUUCGCAAUCUCUAGCCCAACGUAUUUUGAGGACUGGGAAAUCGAUUAAUUUCCUUCGUGUCUGUUGUGAGGAUAUGGGAUGGGCUGAUGCUGCAACAGAAGCAGCAGUAGCUGCUGGGACUACAACUAAAAGGGGAGGUCUUGGAUAUGGUGAAACAGAUGCCCUUGAAUCUUUGGUAGAUGGAGCAGCAAAAAGAAUAGACAAACACUUGUUGGAUGUAAUGCACAAGCGAUAUAAGUUCAAAGACCAUUGUCUAGCAAUUAAGCGCUAUUUACUAUUAGGACAAGGAGAUUUUGUCCAAUAUUUGAUGGAUAUUGUUGGGCCUGAGCUUUCUGAGCCUGCUAAUGCUAUUAGCUCAUUUAAGUUAUCUGGUCUCCUGGAAACAGCAAUUCGGUCCUCUAAUGCUCAGUAUGAUGAUCCAGACAUCUUGGAUAGAUUAAAGGUUAAGAUGAUGCCUCAUGGAACUGGAGAUAGGGGUUGGGAUGUAUUCUCAUUAGAAUAUGAGGCAAGCGUUCCACUAGAUACUGUAUUCACAGAGUCUGUCAUGUCAAAAUAUUUAAGGAUCUUCAAUUUCCUGUGGAAGCUUAGACGUGUUGAGCAUGCACUUAUAGGUACUUGGAAGACGAUGAAACCAAACUGCAUCACGUCCUGUUCAUUAACUAAGCUGCACCAUGGGGUUAAGUUGCAAUUGCUCUCAACAUUGAGGCGAUGCCAGGUCCUUUGGGUUGAGAUGAAUCAUUUUGUUACAAACUUGCAAUACUACAUAAUGUUUGAAGUCUUGGAGGUAUCGUGGUCUGACUUCUCUAAUGAAAUGGAAGCAGCAAUGGAUCUGGAUGAUUUACUUGCCGCUCAUGAAAAGUAUCUUCAUUCAAUAUUUGAGAAAUCUCUUCUUGGAGAACAAUCUCAGACACUUUGCAAGUCACUUUUUGUCUUAUUUGAUCUAAUAUUGCGAUUUCGAAGUCAUGCAGACAGGUUGUACGAAGGAAUACAUGAAUUACAAUGCAGGACAAUAGAAUCAUCUUUACCCUCCAGAGACAAGAGUAAAAAGAAUCGUUCAACAGAAAAAUCUUUAGAAACAACAUCGUGGGUAGCUGAUGGCAAGAAGGCUCUAACACAACGUGCUGGUGAAUUUCUUCGGAAUGUUGAACAAGAUCUAGCUGCAUUAGCUAAAGAGUAUUCUUCAUUGCUUGAGGGAUUCAUUUCUCAGCUGCCUAUGCAACAACAUGUUGAUUUGAAGUUUCUCCUAUUCCGUCUUGACUUCACUGAAUUUUACAGCCAAUUACAACCUCAUGUGUAGAGUGGAUGUCAGAUGUAUAUCUCACAUGGCCUUUCGUUGUUAGUCACAAUUGGCAGAGCUUCUAACCAAUCUUUCAUGGCAUCCACAGGGAUCAACCAUUGAAAAUUUCAUUGCCUGCCAUGUAAUUUUAGGUCUGUAUUUCUAUGAAGCUUUGGUGGAGCCAAGAUGAGAAGCAGUCGGAGGAUAGUAUUUUAGCUUUAUUACACAGUAUGGACUGUGUUACACAGUUUAAUGCUAUGCUUGCUAUAGGCUUCAACUACUUUUGCAUUGUUAGACGGUGGGACCUUAAGGUGGUGGAUUUUGUGUUGUAAUGUGCAACGUUGUAUGUUGUAUAGUUUGCAGGUCUUGUUUUUUAUUUGGUUUCUCUGUUGCUUGGUAUUUAUCUGCAUUCUUAUCCCUCAUGAAAGUCCAAGUACGUUGUCGUAAAUAGUUUAUAGUUCAUGCAGGCUUAAUGUAUUGCCUUGGAAGUUCCUUAUAAAUAUUAAUCUAGGGAGCAUUUUAUCGGCUGCAGUGAGGGUCCCCCCACCCCCCACCAUUUUGCAGGCAGAUUCAUUAGGAUUCAUUGCUGGAUGAUUGUAAUCAUUGCUUAAAUAUAUAAUAAAAUUCUAUUCAAUGGCCUAGCAAGUAGCAAUAAAUCAAUAAAAUGUACUGUCAUGGGAAUCUUGUAUACUGAAUUGUGGUGAGUUCAUUGCCUCCCAAGAACCAAGGGAUCCUUGUCUCAAUUUAAUCAUUUCUGUCUGAUUGUACCUUUUUGUAACUUACAUAUUAGCUUCAAAGAAAUUUGGUAGUUGGGCUUUUCCCACUUCAGUGGGCAGCCUUUGCUUAUAGAAUGAUGAUGAAGAAAAUUUGGAUCACCUUUUUCUUCAUUGUUCUCAUAUACCUCCGGGUUGGGCGGCUUGGGUUUUCUGGUGGGGAAUUCGACGUUUCUAGCUGCCUGUGUUUUUCUGUUGUGGAUUGGAUGCAAGAAUUAUGAUUUCUGAAUGGGUGAGUGCAGAAGGAAGAGCAAAGAUUAUGGAGAUGUACCUCUAAAGCCACUUUGUGGGAAAUAUGGAAGGAAAGAAAUCAAAGAGUUUUUAGAGAUAAAUCUACUUCUUUUGACCCAUUUUGUAAUUAUGUGCAGCUGAUUUCUUCUUUUUGGUGUCUAAGACACCAGGGGACUUCAAAGAACUCAUAAUAUUGGCUGUUGCUGAAAAGCGUCGGUGAUCUAGAAUCAGUUUUUUCUGUAGCAAUGGCCAAUAUCACUUGGAUUAAAUUGGAGGGUCUUAUACUCUGAUAUCAUAAUCUCCAAUUGAUUAAUAGGAUGGAUGAUCCUUUUCAUGAGGUUCAACCGUUUCUGAGAGAUGUUUGGCAAUUGGAGCCCUCCUUUGCUUCUAUACAUUAUCGGUUUGUGAAGUGAGAUUGAAAUAUGUUUGUUCAUGAGUUGGCUUGUCGGGGUUUUUUUAGAGUUCUUUCUCUUGGUGCUGUAAGUUCCUUCUUGUUUGAUUUCACAUUUUUAGCAUGAUACUAGGCACUUUGUAAUUUGGUUGGAUGUAUUCCAUCUUUAUGAUUAAUGGUAGGUUUUAUUGGUCUCAAGAAAAAAAGAACAAAAAAAAAAAAAAAAAAAAAAAAAA
Benincasa hispida (wax gourd) is the source of this 4317-nucleotide RNA transcript. It is a transcript of the gene named spindle pole body component 98, with no coding region annotated. The record is from RefSeq and is a predicted model, not a curated record. NCBI's taxonomy places the organism in Eukaryota, Viridiplantae, Streptophyta, Magnoliopsida, Cucurbitales, Cucurbitaceae.